CCCGAUGACCAUAGUGCUGUGGUUCUACCUGAUUCCAUUCCGAACUCAGAAGUAAAACGCAGUAACGUCGAUGGUAGUGUGGUGAUUCGCCAUGUGAGAGUAGAGCAUCAUCGGGU
RNAcentral lists this ribosomal RNA (116 nucleotides) under Mannheimia varigena. The record is from RNAcentral. Lineage: Bacteria; Pseudomonadati; Pseudomonadota; Gammaproteobacteria; Pasteurellales; Pasteurellaceae.